RNAcentral lists this ribosomal RNA (440 nucleotides) under uncultured bacterium. RNAcentral's name for it is "partial 16S ribosomal RNA". It matches the Rfam family "Bacterial small subunit ribosomal RNA", at positions 338 to 795 of the family's 1533-position model. The record is from RNAcentral.
CCUACGGGAGGCAGCAGUAGGGAAUAUUUCACAAUGGGGGAAACCCUGAUGCAGCAACGCCGCGUGCGUGAAGAAGUAUUUCGGUAUGUAAAGCGCUAUCAUCAGGGAAGAAAAUGACGGUACCUGAUUAAGAAGCCCCGGCUAACUACGUGCCAGCAGCCGCGGUAAUACGUAGGGGGCAAGCGUUAUCCGGAUUGACUGGGUGUAAAGGGAGCGUAGACGGCAGCACAAGACUGGAGUGAAAUGCCGGGGCUUAACCCAGGAACUGUUUUGGAAACUGGUCAGCUAGAGUGCAGGAGAGGUAAGUGGAAUUCCUAGUGUAGCGGUGAAAUGCGUAGAUAUUAGGAGGAACACCAGUGGCGAAGGCGGCUUACUGGACUGUAACCGACGUUGAGGCUCGAAAGCGUGGGGAGCAAACAGGAUUAGAUACCCUUGUAGUC